CCCGCUGAACUUAAGCAUAUCACUAAGCGGAGGAAAAGAAAUUAACUAAGAUUGCCUCAGUAACGGCGAGUGAAGCGGCAAGAGCCCAAGCUGGAAAUCUUCACACUGCGUGUGACGAAUUGUAAUCUAAAGAGGGUUCGCUCAACGGGCGGUGGCGCAGAAGUGCCUUAGAACGGGCCGCCAGAGAGGGUGACAGCCCCGUAUGUGGUGCCACUGCCUAACGAGCGGGUCCCCGAAGAGUCGGGUUGUUUUGUAUUGCAGCCCUAAGUGGGAGAUAAACUUCUUCUAAGGCUAAAUACCUAUGGGAAACCGAUAGCGAACAAGUACUGUGAAGGAAAGAUGAAAAGAACUUUGAAAAGAGAGUCAAAAGACUUGAAAUCGUUGAGAAGGAAGCGGUAGAAAUUUAUUCUUCGGCGGUGAACGGUGACUUCUGCCUAUCCAUUGCCGGCUGCCAGCACUUCAUAAGGCUGCGGCUGGCACAUGGGGAAGCGGCUGUCUUGUUCUCCGUCGUGAGGCAAAAUGAGGUCGCACAUCCGCAGAGGCUUCCCAAACCUGGCCCGAUUCGUCGGGUAGUUUGGGUUCGCCGGUGGGCGUGCGGCCUGAGGGUGCUUCGUGCGAUUUUGCCAAAAUGGUUUUUACCGACCCGUCUUGAAACACGG
RNAcentral lists this ribosomal RNA (659 nucleotides) under uncultured fungus. RNAcentral describes it as "eukaryotic LSU rRNA". It matches the Rfam family "Eukaryotic large subunit ribosomal RNA", at positions 24 to 664 of the family's 3401-position model. Lineage: Eukaryota; Fungi. The record is from RNAcentral.